UUACAUUCAUCUAAGCCGUGCUCUUGUGCUAUAAACUCAAUCCUCAAAAUACAUCUCAUUUGUUUUUUUCAGCUCCAAACUCUGUUCCAGCAGCAUCUCGGUGAGUGUAGCUCUACUGCUAAUGCUACCUCUGCCACUCCAACAUCAGUACCAUUAACAUCUACCCCCCCGCCCUCUGAGCUCAGCACUCUGUCAGACAUCAACACCACAGCAACCACAUCUGGCAACUUCAGUUCUACUCCUGAUACACAGAACGUCAGCACAGUGACUGAGGUUCAGUUUCAAAACUGGACGUCUGCAAGCAGUUCAGUAAAAGAAAAUGAAACGGCUACCAGCCCCUUUCAACAUGUUGAGGUCAUGUGUGAUGAGAAGACUGAAAUAAGGAAGACUUUGUGCACUGUACUGCUGCAGUUAAGUCAGGUUGCCAGUCCGUGCUGCAUCGCGCGCAUUGUGAACAUAGUUGAAAUCAACUCCACCAUACAGGGCCAGGUGAUUGGAAACCAAGUGCAGAGAGUGGGUAUGUAUUAUUACACGUCACACGUUCAGCAUGUGUCCAACAUUACAUAGUCAGGAUAUAAAAUCUGUUAAAAAUGAGUAUAGUUACUGUUUUUUUGUUUUGACCAAAACUCUAUAAGCCAACAGUGUGCCAUUUUAUGGUCUGCAUUAUUAAGAUUAGUACUUUAUAUCCUCCUGAGACCCGGACUUUAG
Molecule: long non-coding RNA, 708 nt
Filed under: Astyanax mexicanus (Mexican tetra)
Lineage: Eukaryota; Metazoa; Chordata; Actinopteri; Characiformes; Acestrorhamphidae
Description: lncRNA (ENSAMXG00005002686.1)
Source: RNAcentral